GUUUGGAGUCAGAUGGGCCUGGCUGUGGACUGAGGGAAGGAGAGGAGGUCAGGUGAGGGCCUGGAGAACAGAGGGAAGGGAGACGGGGAAGUAGUGAUAUUAGGGAGAUACAUCGUUACCAGGCACCUGCUGGGUGUGAGACACUGAGUUGUCCCAUCGAAUCCUCUUCACUGCAUCACAAUGGACACACUCUGGUCCCCAUACUGUGGAGGGUAACACUGAGGCCCAGAGGGGUUCAUGGUUCCCGCAGCUGCUGAGACGCCAGCGACGUGGCUGAGAGCAGGCUGGCCCAGGCCCUUCUGGUCCAAGGCCUCAGGAGCCAGGAAUCUGCCAUAUGACCCAAGCUCCCCUCCACUGAGGCUCAGGCUUCUUGGGUUCCUGGUCCCCUCGCCUGCUGGGGCGCUGUGCUGGGUGAAGAGCCGGGUUCUGACCUCCUGACUCACUGUGAUUUCCCUCCAGUGCCAGGUGACCGUGCUGACGGAGCCUUCACCCCUGCCCCAGCAGCCUCCCACCUCCGGCAGUGAACAAAUUGGGUUUUUGAAGACCAUCAACUGCUCCUGCCCAGCCGGAGAAAAGGGUGAAAAGGGCUCUGAUGGCCCCGUGGGACUCCCCGGCCCAAAGGGAGACAUGGGAGCCACUGGGCUGGUUGGAGCUCCUGGACCCAAGGGAGAAAAAGGUGACAUGGGCAGAGGGCCUUUUGUCCAAGGAGAGAAGGGUGAAAAGGGUUCCCUGGGCCUGCCCGGUCUCCCUGGAAGAGACGGCAGCAAAGGCAUGCGGGUACGUCUGCUCCCACCGUCCUCCCCACUGGCAGCCCCCUGAUCAGAGCCCGUGUCCUUGAGC
This 840-nucleotide long non-coding RNA is filed under the name Ursus maritimus (polar bear). Its description in RNAcentral is "lncRNA (ENSUMAG00000002116.1)". Lineage: Eukaryota; Metazoa; Chordata; Mammalia; Carnivora; Ursidae. The record is from RNAcentral.